UGGGGGAUAUUGCACAAUGGGCGAAAGCCUGAUGCAGCGACGCCGCGUGGGGGAUGAAGGCUUUCGGGUUGUAAACCUCUUUCGCUAUCGAACAAGGCCCGCUUAGGGUGGGUUGAGGGUAGGUGGAGAAGAAGCGCCGGCUAACUACGUGCCAGCAGCCGCGGUAAUACGUAGGGCGCGAGCGUUGUCCGGAAUGAUUGGGCGUAAAGGGCUUGUAGGCGGCUUGUUGCGCCUGCUGUGAAAACGCGGGGCUUAACUUCGCGCGUGCAGUGGGUACGGGAAGGCUUGAGUGUGGUAGGGGUGACUGGAAUUCCAGGUGUAGCGGUGGAAUGCGAAGAUAUCUGGAGGAACACCGAUGGCGAAGGCAGGUCACUGGGCCAUUACUGACGCUGAGGAGCGAAAGCAUGGGUAGCGAACAGG
Molecule: ribosomal RNA, 420 nt
Filed under: bacterium
Lineage: Bacteria
Description: partial 16S ribosomal RNA
Rfam family: Bacterial small subunit ribosomal RNA
Source: RNAcentral